RNAcentral lists this transfer RNA (83 nucleotides) under Canis lupus familiaris (dog). It matches the Rfam family "tRNA". From Rfam's summary of the family: Transfer RNA (tRNA) molecules are approximately 80 nucleotides in length. Their secondary structure includes four short double-helical elements and three loops (D, anti-codon, and T loops). Further hydrogen bonds mediate the characteristic L-shaped molecular structure. tRNAs have two regions of fundamental functional importance: the anti-codon, which is responsible for specific mRNA codon recognition, and the 3' end, to which the tRNAs corresponding amino acid is attached (by aminoacyl-tRNA synthetases). tRNAs cope with the degeneracy of the genetic code in two manners: having more than one tRNA (with a specific anti-codon) for a particular amino acid; and 'wobble' base-pairing, i.e. permitting non-standard base-pairing at the 3rd anti-codon position. The record is from Rfam by way of RNAcentral. Lineage: Eukaryota; Metazoa; Chordata; Mammalia; Carnivora; Canidae. RNAcentral also lists the same sequence under 1 other name.
GCCUGGUUGGCUCAGCAGUUGAGCAUCUGCCUUUGGCUCAGGACGUGAUUCUGGAACUCUGGGAUAGAGUCCCACAUCAGGCU